AUUGAUCGCUUCUUUGCAAGGCGAUGUUGUAGCAGUGUCUGGCCAGGGCUUGGUCUCCCCGGACCUCUCCGAUCCCCUGGUUGGUGGGGAACUUCAACUUCAAAUGGUAGGUCGAUACGACAGCUCGGAGAGCAUUGAGGCCAGGUCAGCCGAGGAUUGCAUUGUAGGUGGAUGGCACCUUCACCACCAAGAAAUUCACCAGAGCCCUGGACUGCUUUGGAUAUUGACCCGCGGCCACAGUCAAAGUUAUCAUCCC
This 256-nucleotide long non-coding RNA is filed under the name Elaeis guineensis (African oil palm). RNAcentral's name for it is "long non-coding RNA (EGUI_LNC051744)". Lineage: Eukaryota; Viridiplantae; Streptophyta; Magnoliopsida; Arecales; Arecaceae. The record is from RNAcentral.